Triticum urartu is the source of this 115-nucleotide non-coding RNA. NCBI's taxonomy places the organism in Eukaryota, Viridiplantae, Streptophyta, Magnoliopsida, Poales, Poaceae. The record is from Rfam.
AUGCUACUCCCUCCGUUCGGAAUUACUUGUCUCGAAAAUGGAUGUAUCUAGAACUAAAAUACGUCUAGAUACAUCCAUUUCUGCGACAAGUAAUUUCGAACGGAGGGAGUAGAUG